CCUGUACUUGGUAAAAGAAUGAUGGAGUGACGAAAAAGGAUAGUUCUACCACUUACUGGAUUGUGGGGUAAGCAACAAGAGAGUUAUAUAGGCAAAUCCGUAUAGCAUAAUCUUGAGUUGUGAUGCAUAGUGAAGACUUCGGUCGAGUAACGAAUUGAAUGAUUUCAUGUUUCCAAGAAAAGCUUCUAGUGUUAAUUUUUUAUCAACCUGUACCGAGAACGAACACACGUUCCCAAGAUGAGUAUUCUAAGGCGAGCGAGAAAACCAAUGUUAAGGAACUCUGCAAAAUAACCCCGUAAGUUCGCGAGAAGGGGCGCCUAUUUUUAAUAGGCCACAGAAAAUAGGGGGGGCAACUGUUUAUCAAAAACACAGCUCUCUGCUAAGUUGUAAAACGACGUAUAGAGGGUGAAGCCUGCCCAGUGCCCGAAGGUUAAACGGAGAUGUUAG
Molecule: ribosomal RNA, 447 nt
Filed under: Mesomycoplasma hyorhinis
Lineage: Bacteria; Bacillati; Mycoplasmatota; Mycoplasmoidales; Metamycoplasmataceae
Description: bacterial LSU rRNA
Rfam family: Bacterial large subunit ribosomal RNA
Source: RNAcentral